AUGUAUGAGCAGAAUCUCUCUAAGCUAAAUCAGUUUUAUAAACAAAGAGCAAAGAAACCUUGGGCUAAGGAUGGAGAUAGAAAUACCAGAUUUUUCCAUCAAUCUGUUCUUAAGAGAAGAAAAAAGAACACUAUUGUUUCCAAGGAUGAAAAUGAUGUUAUACAUUUUAAGCCAAGUCAAAUUGCUAACACUUUUGUGAACUAUUUCAGCAAUAUGGGCAGGCCUUUUCUUGCAACUCAGCCUCUAAUACAAUCAGAUGAUUUCACUUAUUCCAUACCAGAUAAGCAGGAAAUCUUGCAGAUUCUGAAGGAUAUGAAGCUAAAUGCAUCACGUGGCCCUGAUGGUUUCAAUGUGGAGUUUUAUGUUUCAACCUGGGAUUGGAUUGGGGAUGACGUUGCUGCCUUGGUUACCAUGUUCUAUCGUACAAGUAUCUUACCCCCACAUAUUAGUGGCACGAAUAUUGCUCUCAUUCCUAAAAAGCUGGUUCAUCAAGUUCCUAGUGACUAAAGACCCAUUAGCCUUUGUAAUGUCGUCUAUAAAAUUAUUGCUAAAUCUUUGGCUAAUAGGCUCAAACCUCACUUGCCUGAUUAUAUUGAUACCUCUCAGCAAGCUUUUAUCGAAGGGCGUAGAAUUAGUGAUAACAUUAUACUUGCACAAGAAAUCACUCGUUCAUUUGCCCUUAAUUCUUGGAAACACCAGGGCUUCAUGCUUAAAAUUGAUCUUGCUAAAGCUUUCGAUCGUAUUGAAUGGAAUUUCAUUGUUUUGGCUCUGUCAUGUAAAGGGUUGCAUGCUCACUUCAUUAAUCUUAUCUAUGCGUGCAUUUCUACUCCAAUUUUUCUGUCAUCAUUAACGGCCAAGCCACUCAGAGAUUCAAAAGUGAUAGGGGUAUAA
This 891-nucleotide ribosomal RNA is filed under the name Triticum aestivum (bread wheat). Its description in RNAcentral is "partial small subunit ribosomal RNA". Lineage: Eukaryota; Viridiplantae; Streptophyta; Magnoliopsida; Poales; Poaceae. The record is from RNAcentral.